This 631-nucleotide ribosomal RNA is filed under the name uncultured bacterium. RNAcentral's name for it is "bacterial SSU rRNA". It matches the Rfam family "Bacterial small subunit ribosomal RNA", at positions 61 to 692 of the family's 1533-position model. The record is from RNAcentral.
GUCGAGCGAAGCACUUUAAUUCGAUUCUUCGGAUGAAGAUUUUUGUGACUGAGUGGCGGACGGGUGAGUAACGCGUGGGCAACCUGCCUUACACAGGGGGAUAACAGUUAGAAAUGACUGCUAAUACCGCAUAAGACCGCAGUACCGCAUGGUACAGCGGUAAAAACUCCGGUGGUGUAAGAUGGGCCCGCGUCUGAUUAGGUAGUUGGCGGGGUAACGGCCCACCAAGCCGACGAUCAGUAGCCGACCUGAGAGGGUGACCGGCCACAUUGGGACUGAGACACGGCCCAGACUCCUACGGGAGGCAGCAGUGGGGAAUAUUGCACAAUGGGGGAAACCCUGAUGCAGCGACGCCGCGUGAGCGAUGAAGUAUUUCGGUAUGUAAAGCUCUAUCAGCAGGGAAGAAAAUGACGGUACCUGACUAAGAAGCCCCGGCUAACUACGUGCCAGCAGCCGCGGUAAUACGUAGGGGGCAAGCGUUAUCCGGAUUUACUGGGUGUAAAGGGAGCGUAGACGGCUGUGCAAGCCAGAUGUGAAAGCCCGGGGCUCAACCCCGGGACUGCAUUUGGAACUGUGUGGCUGGAGUGUCGGAGAGGCAGGCGGAAUUCCUAGUGUAGCGGUGAAAUGCGUA